RNAcentral lists this ribosomal RNA (1499 nucleotides) under metagenome. Its description in RNAcentral is "bacterial SSU rRNA". It matches the Rfam family "Bacterial small subunit ribosomal RNA". The record is from RNAcentral.
AGAGUUUGAUCCUGGCUCAGAACGAACGCUGGCGGCGCGUUUUAAGCAUGCAAGUCGAACGGUAAUAGAGUGCUUGCACUCUAUGAGAGUGGCGAACGGGUGAGUAACACGUAGAUGAUCUAUCUUUGGAUCUGGGAUAGCCUGUGGAAACACAGGGUAAUACCGGAUACGACCUUUUGGCUGCGGCUGGAAGGGGAAAGUCGCUUAGGCGACGUCCGAUGAUGAGUCUGCGGCUCAUUAGCUUGUUGGUAGGGUAAUGGCCUACCAAGGCGACGAUGAGUAGCCGGCCUGAGAGGGUGAUCGGCCACACUGGGACUGAGACACGGCCCAGACUCCUACGGGAGGCAGCAGCUAAGAAUCUUCCGCAAUGGGGGAAACCCUGACGGAGCGACGCCGCGUGAACGAUGAAGGCCGGAAGGUUGUAAAGUUCUUUUCCUGGGGGAGAAUAAUGCUUGGAGGUAAUGCCAGGCAGAUGACGUGAACCAGGGAAUAAGCCCCGGCUAAUUACGUGCCAGCAGCCGCGGUAACACGUAAGGGGCAAGCGUUGUUCGGAUUUAUUGGGCGUAAAGGGCGUGUAGGCGGUGAGAUAAGUUUGGUGUGAAAGACCCCGGCUCAACCGGGGGAACGCGCUGAAAACUGUCUUACUAGAGUGAUGGAGGGGAAACUGGAAUUCCUGGUGUAGGGGUGAAAUCUGUAGAGAUCAGGAAGAACACCGGAGGCGAAGGCGAGUCUCUGGCCAUCUACUGACGCUGAGGCGCGAAAGCGUGGGGAGCGAACAGGAUUAGAUACCCUGGUAGUCCACGCUGUAAACGAUGUGCACUAGGUGUUGGUCCGUUGAGGAUCAGUGCCGUAGCUAACGCGUUAAGUGCACCGCCUGGGGAGUAUGCUCGCAAGGGUGAAACUCAAAGGAAUUGACGGGGGCCCGCACAAGCGGUGGAGCAUGUGGUUUAAUUCGAUGAUACGCGAGAAACCUUACCAGGGCUUGACAUAAGCAUGACGGUUGUAGAGAUACAGCUUCUCUUCGGAGCAUGUUUACAGGUGCUGCAUGGCUGUCGUCAGCUCGUGCUGUGAAGUGUUGGGUUAAGUCCCGCAACGAGCGCAACCCCUUUCUUUAGUUACCAUCAUUUAGUUGGGGACUCUAAAGACACUGCCCCGGUUAACGGGGAGGAAGGUGGGGACGACGUCAAGUCCUCAUGGCCUUUAUGCCUAGGGCUACACACGUGCUACAAUGGACUGUACAAAGGGUUGCCAGCCUGUGAAGGUGAGCCAAUCCCAUAAAGCAGUUCGUAGUUCGGAUUGGAGUCUGCAACUCGACUCCAUGAAGCUGGAAUCGCUAGUAAUCGUGGAUCAGCACGCCACGGUGAAUACGUUCCCGGGCCUUGUACACACCGCCCGUCACACCAUGAGAGUUGGUUGUACCAGAAGUCGUUGGGCAAACCUUUACAGGAUGCAGGCGCCUAAGGUAUGGCUGAUGAUUGGGGUGAAGUCGUAACAAGGUA